Molecule: ribosomal RNA, 497 nt
Filed under: uncultured bacterium
Lineage: Bacteria
Description: partial 16S ribosomal RNA
Rfam family: Bacterial small subunit ribosomal RNA
Source: RNAcentral
GAUGAACGCUGGCGGCGUGCCUAAUACAUGCAAGUCGAGCGAACGGACGAGAAGCUUGCUUCUCUGAUGUUAGCGGCGGACGGGUGAGUAACACGUGGAUAACCUACCUAUAAGACUGGGAUAACUUCGGGAAACCGUAGCUAAUACCGGAUAAUAUUUUGAACCGCAUGGUUCAAAAGUGAAAGACGUUCUUGCUGUCACUUAUAGAUGGAUCCGCGCUGCAUUAGCUAGUUGGUAAGGUAACGGCUUACCAAGGCAACGAUGCAUAGCCGACCUGAGAGGGUGAUCGGCCACACUGGAACUGGGACACGGUCCAGACUCCUACGGGAGGCAGCAGUAGGGAAUCUUCCGCAAUGGGCGAAAGCCUGACGGAGCAACGCCGCGUGAGUGAUGAAGGUCUUCGGAUCGUAAAACUCUGUUAUUAGGGAAGAACAUAUGUGUAAGUAACUGUGCACAUCUUGACGGUACCUAAUCAGAAAGCCACGGCUAACUACGUG